GACGAACGCUGGCGGCGUGCUUAACACAUGCAAGUCGAACGGAAAGGCCCCUUUGGGGGUACUCGAGUGGCGAACGGGUGAGUAACACGUGAGUAACCUGCCCUUGACUUCGGGAUAACUUCAGGAAACUGGGGCUAAUACCGGAUAGGAAUCCUUGCUGCAUGGUGGGGGUUGGAAAGCUUCGGCGGUUUUGGAUGGACUCGCGGCUUAUCAGCUUGUUGGUGGGGUAGUGGCUUACCAAGGCUUUGACGGGUAGCCGGCCUGAGAGGGCGACCGGCCACAUUGAGACUGAGAUACGGCCCAGACUCCUACGGGAGGCAGCAGUGGGGAAUAUUGCACAAUGGGCGGAAGCCUGAUGCAGCAACGCCGCGUGCGGGAGGACGGCCUUCGGGUUGUAAACCGCUUUCAGCAGGGGCGAAGCUUGUGGUGACGGUACCUGCAGAAGAAGCACCGGCUAACUACGUG
Molecule: ribosomal RNA, 465 nt
Filed under: uncultured bacterium
Lineage: Bacteria
Description: partial 16S ribosomal RNA
Rfam family: Bacterial small subunit ribosomal RNA
Source: RNAcentral